GCCCUGGUAGUAUAGUCCGGUCUAGUAUAGGCGGCUGUCGCCCGCCCGACAUUAGGAGGUUAUUUCCCGAAAACGGGAACCGGGUUCAAAUCCCGGCCAGGGCGCCA
RNAcentral lists this transfer RNA (107 nucleotides) under Candidatus Bathyarchaeota archaeon. RNAcentral's name for it is "tRNA-Asp". Lineage: Archaea; Thermoproteati; Candidatus Bathyarchaeota. The record is from RNAcentral.